UACGAAGGGGGCAAGCGUUGUUCGGAUUUACUGGGCGUAAAGGGCGCGUAGGCGGCAUGAUAAGUCACUUGUGAAAUCUCCGGGCUUAACUCGGAGCGGCCAAGUGAUACUGUCGAGCUAGAGUGCAGAAAGGGCAAUCGGAAUUCUCGGUGUAGCGGUGAAAUGCGUAGAUAUCGAGAGGAACACCUGAGGCGAAGGCGGGUUGCUAGGCUGACACUGACGCUGAGGCGCGAAAGCUAGGGUAGCAAACGGG
This 253-nucleotide ribosomal RNA is filed under the name uncultured bacterium. Its description in RNAcentral is "partial 16S ribosomal RNA". It matches the Rfam family "Bacterial small subunit ribosomal RNA", at positions 524 to 776 of the family's 1533-position model. The record is from RNAcentral.